CGGGGUGCACCAGGCGCGAAAACUCUACAAUGCAGGCAACUGCGAUAGGGGAACAUCGAGUGGCACCCACCAUGGGUGUCUGUCCAACCGUCUAAAAAACGGUUGUUAGCAAGGGCCGGGUAAGACCGGUGCCAGCCGCCGCGGUAAUACCGGCGGCUCGAGUGGUGGCCGAUAUUAUUGAGUCUAAAGGGUCCGUAGCUGGCUUUGCAAGUCCCCUGGGAAAUCCAGCGGCUUAACCGUUGGGCUUCCAUGGGAUACUACAUUGCUUGGGACUGGGAGAGGUAGGAGGUACUCAGGGGGUAGGGGUGAAAUCCUGUAAUCCUCUGGGGACCACCGGUGGCGAAGGCGUCCUACCAGAACAGGUCCGACAGUGAGGGACGAAAGCUAGGGGCACGAACCGGAUUAGAUACCCGGGUAGUCCUAGCCGUAAACGAUGCUCGCUAGGUGUCACGGCAGUCGUGAAUUGUCGUGGUGCCGUAGGGAAGCCGUGAAGCGAGCCACUUGGGAAGUACGACCGCAAGGUUGAAACUUAAAGGAAUUGGCGGGGGAGCAC
This 553-nucleotide ribosomal RNA is filed under the name uncultured archaeon. RNAcentral's name for it is "bacterial SSU rRNA". It matches the Rfam family "Archaeal small subunit ribosomal RNA", at positions 326 to 879 of the family's 1478-position model. The record is from RNAcentral.